This 95-nucleotide non-coding RNA is filed under the name Pelodictyon luteolum DSM 273. RNAcentral describes it as "SAM-Chlorobi RNA". It matches the Rfam family "SAM-Chlorobi RNA". Lineage: Bacteria; Pseudomonadati; Chlorobiota; Chlorobiia; Chlorobiales; Chlorobiaceae. The record is from RNAcentral.
AGGCAUCCCCAUUACCUAUGGACACGGUGCCGCAGGCUCACUCCCUCUGGAAUUCAGUUUCCAAGUGACCUGCCGGAAAGGUUUUCCGUGUCCAG